Long non-coding RNA from Oncorhynchus tshawytscha (Chinook salmon), 2203 nucleotides. Lineage: Eukaryota; Metazoa; Chordata; Actinopteri; Salmoniformes; Salmonidae. The record is from Ensembl.
GUGACAGGACUGGCGUGGUAUACCAUCUACAUCGGAAUAUCAGUGGGAGGCGCUGUGGUGCUGAUCCUCACUGUAGCUGUGGCAGUGUGCUACUGCAGGGGCCAAAGUAACACAGAAGAUCUAAUUGACAACACAAUAUAUGCUGAUGUUAUGGACAACACAAGAAGUAGAGAUACAAGAUCAAACAGUCAUGUAAACCCAGUAUCCAUCUACGAAACUGUCAAUGAUCUGGUUAUCCCAAGAUUGAACAAGUUUCUUCUAGAUUAUCUGUCACAUGUAGCUGCAGACUCUGUAUGACAAGAUCACAUUUGGACGCCCAGAAGGCCCCCCUUUUCCGCUUUGAGGACAAUACAGUGCCACUGACAUGGCCCGCUACCAAAACCUGCGGACUCUCCUUCACUGCAGCCGACGUGAGUAAAACAUUUAAGCGUGUUAACCCUCGCAAGGCUGCAGGCCCAGAUGGCAUCCCCAGCCGCAUCCUCAGAGCAUGCACAGACCAGCUGUGUUUACGGACAUAUUCAAUCAAUCCUUAUCCCAGUCUGUUGUUCCCACAUGCUUCAAGAGGGCCACCAUUGUCCCUGUUCCCAAGAACGCUAAGGUAACUGAGCUAAAGGACUACCGCCCCGUAGCACUCACUUCCGUCAUCAUGAAGUGCUUUGAGAGACUAGUCAAGGACCAUAUCACCUCCACCCUACCUGACACCCUAGACCCACUCCAAUUUGCUUACUGCCCAAAUAGAUCCACCGACGACGCGAUCGCAACCACACUGCACACUGCCCUAACCCAUCUGGACAAGAGGAAUACCUAUGUGAGAAUGCUGUUCAUCGACUACAGCUCAGCAUUUAACACCAUAGUACCCUCCAAACUCGUCAUCAAGCUCGAGACCCUGGGUCUCGACCCCGCCCUGUGCAACAGGGUACUGGACUUCCUGACGGGCCGCCCCCAGGUGGUGAGGGUAGGUAACAACCUCUCCACCCCGCUGAUCCUCAACACUGGGGCCCCACAAGGGUGCGUUCUGAGCCCUCUCCUGUACUCCCUGUUCACCCACGACUGUGAGGCCAUGCACGCCUCCAACUCAAUCAUCAAGUUUGCGGACGACACUACAGUGGUAGGCGCGAUUACCAACAACGACGAGUCGGACUACAGGGAGGAGGUGAGGGCCCUGGAGUGUGGUGUCAGGAAAAUAACCUCACACUCAACGUCAACAAAACAAAGGAGAUGAUUGUGGACUUCAGGAAACAGCAGAGGGAGCACCCCCGUAUCCACAUCGACGGAACAGUAGUAGAGAGGGUAGUAAGUUUUAAGUUCCUCGGCGUACACAUCACGGACAAACUGAAUUGGUCCACCCACACAGAAGGCGUCGUGAAGAAGGCGCAGCAGCGCGUCUUCAACCUCAGGAGGCUGAAGAAAUUUGUCUUGUCACCAAAAGCACUCACAAACUUUUACAUAUGCACAAUCGAGAGCAUCCUGUCGGGCUGUAUGACUGCCUGGUACGGCAACUGCUCCGCCCACAACCGUAAGGCUCUCCAGAGGGUAGUGAGGUCUGCACAACGCAUCACCCCCGGGGGCAAACUACCUGCCCUCCAGGACACCUACACCACCCGAUGUCACAGGAAGGCCAUAAAGAUCAUCAAGGACAACAACCACCCGAGCCACUGCCUGUUCAUCCCGCUAUCAUCCAGAAGGCGAGGUCAGUACAGGUGCAUCAAAGCAGGGACCGAGAGACUGAAAAACUGCUUCUAUUUCAAGGCCAUCAGAUUGUUAAACAGCCACCACUAACAUUGAGUGGCAUGUAUCACUAAUAAUACAUGUAUCACUAGCCACUUUAAACUAUGCCACUUUGUUUACAUACCCUACAUUACUCAUCUCAUAUGUAUAUACUGUACUCAAUACCAUCUACUGCAUCUUGCCUAUGCCGUUCUGUACCAUCACUCAUUCAUAUACCUUUAUGUCCAUAUUCUUUAGCCCUUUACACUUGUUUUGGAAUUGUUAGGUUAGAUUACUCGUUGGUUAUUACUGCAUUGUCGGAACUAGAAGCACAAGCAUUUCGCUACACUCGCAUUAACAUCUGCUAACCAUGUGUAUGUGACCAAUAAAAUUAGAUUUGAUUUGAUUUAGUAGGCGUGGUGAUCAGACAAGCUCAUAUGUAUAUUUCUUGAUUAAAGAAAAGAGUUGUAGAUAAUAGUGUGACAUUGAUUAGUGA